RNAcentral lists this ribosomal RNA (464 nucleotides) under uncultured bacterium. RNAcentral describes it as "partial 16S ribosomal RNA". It matches the Rfam family "Bacterial small subunit ribosomal RNA", at positions 28 to 507 of the family's 1533-position model. The record is from RNAcentral.
GACGAACGCUGGCGGCGUGCUUAACACAUGCAAGUCGAACGGAAAGGCCCUGCUUGCGGGGUACUCGAGUGGCGAACGGGUGAGUAACACGUGGGUGAUCUGCCCUCCACUUCGGGAUAAGCCUUGGAAACUGGGUCUAAUACCGGAUAGGAGCCAUCUUUAGUGUGAUGGUUGGAAAGUUUUUUCGGUGUGGGAUGAGCUCGCGGCCUAUCAGCUUGUUGGUGGGGUAGUGGCCUACCAAGGCGGCGACGGGUAGCCGGCCUGAGAGGGUGGACGGCCACAUUGGGACUGAGAUACGGCCCAGACUCCUACGGGAGGCAGCAGUGGGGAAUAUUGCACAAUGGGCGGAAGCCUGAUGCAGCGACGCCGCGUGGGGGAUGACGGCCUUCGGGUUGUAAACUGCUUUCGCUAGGGACGAAGCUUUUGUGACGGUACCUAGAGAAGAAGCACCGGCUAACUACGUG